Molecule: long non-coding RNA, 975 nt
Organism: Oenanthe melanoleuca
Lineage: Eukaryota; Metazoa; Chordata; Aves; Passeriformes; Muscicapidae
Exons: 7
Source: RefSeq, a predicted model, not a curated record
UACAGCUGGUGCUGACAGGUUCUUGCUGCCCUUGGAGAGGAGCCGUGGUGCUGCUCUGGGUGUUUCUCUCGUGCUGGGGGUGAUGCCUUGUUUGCUCACAGCUGAUAUGUGCUCAGUCCUGCUGUUUCUGUCCCAACCCCAUGUGUCCCACUGGUCUGGAAUAACGUUUGGAGUCUGGCAGUCUGGUCCUUUUCGUAGCUCCAGAGGAUUUUUAGGAGCAUGGGGAGCAUGAGAUGCAUGGACAUAUGGACCCACAGAACCCUCUGGAGAAUGCUGGCUGUGGAUAAAAGCAUCUGGAAGUUUCUACCAUCUUUCUACCCUGUUUUUUCCUGGGUCACUCUAUGUCAUUUGUGGCCGUGCCCUGAGGAUUAUAGCGUACAGUCACUUACUGGAAUACCUCCCCAUGCAUCUUCUUGAGAUGGAGCCAUUGCUUUACCCAGCUGGAAGAUAUGUUCUCUUCUCCCAGAGUUUUUCCAGGGCAGCAGCACUCCUGUCCAGCAGGGCUGUUGGUACUGCAGGGCAUUCUAAGCAGGUGGAUACCAAACAGCAUUUGUGACGAGGAUGCUGCUGCGUCACUUGCAUUCUUCACCCCGGCCCAGCAGUAACUCUUUCCAGACUACCAGCAGCAGUCCAGGCACUUACAUCCUGCUCCAUUCCCUCUCCAAGAGCUUUGUGCAUCCCCUCUCCCUCAGCAGAGGAGCUGCUGCCAGCUCAGACAGAGGUCUCGGUUGACUGCAGAAAGGAGGAGGGAGGAGCGUGUCAAAGGGAGGUCAGACCCUGCCAGGGUUUCCUGGGAAAUGAGGAGGAUUGGUCUGGGUGACCUUCAAAGAUCCCUUCCAAUCCAGCCUAUUCCACGAUUUCCAGUCUGGUUGAGAGGACAUCACUGCAGUACAGUCAUAGGACCAUUACCUUGGGCUGCUUGUAUCUGGCCAAUGUCCAAUGGAGGAGCUCGUGGACAUCAUGGAAUCUUUAGUU